AUGAGGGAGCACAAACACUGUCUACCUGGUUGCAUAGAGUCUACUGCAUUGAUGACUCCCAUCAGCAGGAUUCAAAAGCAAACCAGUAAUGCUGAGAUGUUAUUAUUAAUUUAUACAGCCAGAAGAAACUAUUAUUUCUCCAAAAUAUUUGAGGAUUUUCUUGGUGAUGCCAAGCAAAACUUAAAGCCUGAAUGAUAUUCAAUCAAUAGGCUGGAGCAAGA
This 221-nucleotide long non-coding RNA is filed under the name Fukomys damarensis (Damara mole-rat). Its description in RNAcentral is "lncRNA (ENSFDAG00000021775.1)". The record is from RNAcentral. Lineage: Eukaryota; Metazoa; Chordata; Mammalia; Rodentia; Bathyergidae.